Gordionus sp. m RMFG-2023 is the source of this 590-nucleotide long non-coding RNA. RefSeq lists it as uncharacterized. The record is from RefSeq and is a predicted model, not a curated record. The transcript has 3 exons. NCBI's taxonomy places the organism in Eukaryota, Metazoa, Nematomorpha, Gordioida, Chordodea, Parachordodidae.
UUUAUUUCCUGAUCCAUUAUAUAUACACAUGGAUUUCGAAAAGUCUGCUAUGAGCGCGGUUAAAACUGUCAUUGGAGAUCAAAUCAUAAGAGGAUGCUUUUACCAUUUGGUCAAGGUACCCAUAGAAAAAUUUAAAGCUAGUUCUAGAAAGCCAAUAUAGAAUCGAUGAAGCUUUAAGCUUCUUUUGUGGCAUGAUGGACAGCUUAGCAUUUGUUCCUUUAAGUGAUAUGGGCAAUGCAAUGGCAUUCCUUAGAUCGGUUACUCCGAACAAUGGGAGGUCACAAGAAGCAAUUCUCAAUCCCAGACAGGUCGAAUUGGGCCUCGAUUUCCUCGAGAAACUUGAAUCAGAGCACUCUAUCUAACUAAUAACUCAAAUAAUCAAUGCGAAGGUUCGAAUCAUCGUUUUUCUAAUCUGGUUGGGAAUAAACACCCAUCAAUCUGGGUAUUGAUUUUAAAAAAUGAAAUGCGAGGUGGCUGCCGAUGAAACCAAACUUGAACGAUGGCGUAUAGGUAGUUAGACAUUGAAAACAAAAUCGCAGUGUUUAAACAAGAAAAAAUGCUGAUAUUCAAAUUGGUACUAGGAAAACAAA